GUCCACGCCGUAAACGAUGGAUGCUAGCCGUUGGUAAGCAUGCUUAUCAGUGGCGCAGCUAACGCAUUAAGCGUCCCGCCUGGGGAGUACGGCCGCAAGGUUGAAACUCAAAGGAAUUGACGGGGGCCCGCACAAGCGGUGGAGCAUGUGGUUUAAUUCGACGCAACGCGCAGAACCUUACCAGGGUUUGACAUCCCGCGCUAAGCCCAGAGAUGGGUGGUCCCCGCAAGGGGCGCGGAGACAGGUGCUGCAUGGCUGUCGU
RNAcentral lists this ribosomal RNA (262 nucleotides) under uncultured bacterium. RNAcentral's name for it is "partial 16S ribosomal RNA". It matches the Rfam family "Bacterial small subunit ribosomal RNA", at positions 793 to 1055 of the family's 1533-position model. The record is from RNAcentral.